GAUGAACGCUGGCGGCGUGCCUAAUACAUGCAAGUCGAGCGAACGGACGAGAAGCUUGCUUCUCUGAUGUUAGCGGCGGACGGGUGAGUAACACGUGGAUAACCUACCUAUCAGACUGGGAUCACUUCGGGAAACCGGAGCUAAUACCGGAUAAUAUUUUGAACCGCAUGAUUCAAAAGUGAAAGACGGUCUUGCUGUCACUUAUAGAUGGAUCCGCGCUGCAUUAGCUAGUUGGUAAGGUAACGGCUUACCAAGGCAACGAUGCAUAGCCGACCUGAGAGGGUGAUCGGCCACACUGGAACUGGGACACCGUCCAUACUCCUACGGGAGGCAGCAGUAGGGAAUCUUCCGCAAUGGUCGAAAGCCUGGCGGAGCGACGCCGCGUGAGUGAUGAAGGUCUUCGGAUCGUAAAACUCUGUUAUUAGUGAAGAACAUAUGUGUAAGUAACUGUGCACAGCUUGACGGUACCUAAUCAGAAAGCCACGGCUAACUACGUG
RNAcentral lists this ribosomal RNA (497 nucleotides) under uncultured bacterium. Its description in RNAcentral is "partial 16S ribosomal RNA". It matches the Rfam family "Bacterial small subunit ribosomal RNA", at positions 28 to 507 of the family's 1533-position model. The record is from RNAcentral.